This 891-nucleotide ribosomal RNA is filed under the name Enterococcus faecalis. RNAcentral describes it as "bacterial SSU rRNA". It matches the Rfam family "Bacterial small subunit ribosomal RNA", at positions 48 to 916 of the family's 1533-position model. The record is from RNAcentral. Lineage: Bacteria; Bacillati; Bacillota; Bacilli; Lactobacillales; Enterococcaceae.
GCUAUACAUGCAGUCGAACGCUUCUUUCCUCCCGAGUGCUUGCACUCAAUUGGAAAGAGGAGUGGCGGACGGGUGAGUAACACGUGGGUAACCUACCCAUCAGAGGGGGAUAACACUUGGAAACAGGUGCUAAUACCGCAUAACAGUUUAUGCCGCAUGGCAUAAGAGUGAAAGGCGCUUUCGGGUGUCGCUGAUGGAUGGACCCGCGGUGCAUUAGCUAGUUGGUGAGGUAACGGCUCACCAAGGCCACGAUGCAUAGCCGACCUGAGAGGGUGAUCGGCCACACUGGGACUGAGACACGGCCCAGACUCCUACGGGAGGCAGCAGUAGGGAAUCUUCGGCAAUGGACGAAAGUCUGACCGAGCAACGCCGCGUGAGUGAAGAAGGUUUUCGGAUCGUAAAACUCUGUUGUUAGAGAAGAACAAGGACGUUAGUAACUGAACGUCCCCUGACGGUAUCUAACCAGAAAGCCACGGCUAACUACGUGCCAGCAGCCGCGGUAAUACGUAGGUGGCAAGCGUUGUCCGGAUUUAUUGGGCGUAAAGCGAGCGCAGGCGGUUUCUUAAGUCUGAUGUGAAAGCCCCCGGCUCAACCGGGGAGGGUCAUUGGAAACUGGGAGACUUGAGUGCAGAAGAGGAGAGUGGAAUUCCAUGUGUAGCGGUGAAAUGCGUAGAUAUAUGGAGGAACACCAGUGGCGAAAGCGGCUCUCUGGUCUGUAACUGACGCUGAGGCUCGAAAGCGUGGGGAGCAAACAGAUUAGAUACCCUGGUAGUCCACGCCGUAACGAUGAGUGCUAGUGUUGGAGGGUUUCCGCCCUUCAGUGCUGCAGCAACGCAUUAAGCACUCCGCCUGGGGAGUACGACCGCAACGUUGAACUCAAGGAAUUGACGG